RNAcentral lists this ribosomal RNA (505 nucleotides) under uncultured bacterium. Its description in RNAcentral is "partial 16S ribosomal RNA". It matches the Rfam family "Bacterial small subunit ribosomal RNA", at positions 28 to 507 of the family's 1533-position model. The record is from RNAcentral.
GACGAACGCUGGCGGCGUGCCUAAUACAUGCAAGUAGAACGCACAGUUUAUACCGUAGCUUGCUACACCAUAGACUGUGAGUUGCGAACGGGUGAGUAACGCGUAGGUAACCUGCCUGGUAGCGGGGGAUAACUAUUGGAAACGAUAGCUAAUACCGCAUAAUAUUAAUUAUUGCAUGAUAAUUAAUUGAAAGGUGCAAUUGCACCACUACCAGAUGGACCUGCGUUGUAUUAGCUAGUAGGUGAGGUAACGGCUCACCUAGGCGACGAUACAUACCCGACCUGAGAGGGUGAUCGGCCACACUGGGACUGAGACACGGCCCAGACUCCUACGGGAGGCAGCAGUAGGGAAUCUUCGGCAAUGGACGAAAGUCUGACCGAGCAACGCCGCGUGAGUGAAGAAGGUUUUCGGAUCGUAAAGCUCUGUUGUAAGAGAAGAACGGGUGUGAGAGUGGAAAGUUCACACUGUGACGGUAUCUUACCAGAAAGGGACGGCUAACUACGUG